CUCUGGUAACUAGAGAUCCCUCAGACCAUUCUAGGCAGAGUAAAAAUCUCUAGCAGUGGCGCCCGAACAGGGACCUGAAAAGCGAAAGUAAAAGGG
Regulatory RNA element from HIV-1 M_02CD.LBTB032, 96 nucleotides. It matches the Rfam family "HIV primer binding site (PBS)". From Rfam's summary of the family: This family consists of several, structured HIV primer binding sites (PBSs). tRNA(3)(Lys) binds to the PBS to initiate reverse transcription. The record is from Rfam. NCBI's taxonomy places the organism in Riboviria, Pararnavirae, Artverviricota, Revtraviricetes, Ortervirales, Retroviridae.